AGCCCCGUAGUGUAGAGGUCAAUCAUGCCGGCCUUUGGAGCCGGCGACGCCAGUUCGAAUCUGGCCGGGGCUA
Molecule: transfer RNA, 73 nt
Filed under: Methanobacteriota archaeon
Lineage: Archaea; Methanobacteriati; Methanobacteriota
Description: Euryarchaeota archaeon (anaerobic digester metagenome) tRNA-Gln
Rfam family: tRNA
About the family: Transfer RNA (tRNA) molecules are approximately 80 nucleotides in length.
Source: RNAcentral